GGGAGAAGAAGUGAGAGGCAGUUUCGAAUGCCAGGCUCUGCCUGGUGUCAGGUAGGAGAGAAAGAUUCCAGGGCAGAGCAAUGGAAACAGCCCUGUGCUUCAACAGGCUAAAUACCAGAAGUGCCCCUAUGUGUGAGAAGAGUGCUUGGGGAGAAGGUUGCUAGAAGGAGAGCACACAGUUCUACAGCCACAGUGAUCAGAAGGUGAAACAGACGGUGAGAGACAAAAGAUCCAAAGUACCAUUUUCUGCUGCAGGAUGUAUAUAAGAAAAGGAAGAUGAGCAUGAGACAAAGCCAACUGACAAGUCUUGCUCUUAAGAUUCUAUUCACCUUAAAGAUGCAGACUGGGAAAGCUCUCUACUUUUGGAUGAAUUACCUAUUCAUUUAACGUGGAGAAGAAUGAAGAAGUGUUUUGUCUUGAUUCAGCACCACAAAGGCCUACU
Non-coding RNA from Podarcis muralis (Common wall lizard), 442 nucleotides. Lineage: Eukaryota; Metazoa; Chordata; Lepidosauria; Squamata; Lacertidae. The record is from RefSeq and is a predicted model, not a curated record.